GAUGAACGCUGACAGAAUGCUUAACACAUGCAAGUCGACUCGAGUCUUCGGACUUGGGUGGCGCACGGGUGAGUAACGCGUAAAGAACUUGCCUCUUAGACCGGGACAACAUCUGGAAACGGAUGCUAAUACCGGAUAUUAUGGUUUUUUCGCAUGGAGGAAUCAUGAAAGCUAGGUGCGCUAAGAGAGAGCUUUGCGUCCCAUUAGCUGGUUGGUGAGGUAACGGCCCACCAAGGCAAUGAUGGGUAGCCGGCCUGAGAGGGUGAACGGCCACAAGGGGACUGAGACACGGCCCUUACUCCUACGGGAGGCAGCAGUGGGGAAUAUUGGACAAUGGACCACAAGUCUGAUCCAGCAAUUCUGUGUGCACGAUGACGUUUUUCGGAAUGUAAAGUGCUUUCAGUCGGGAAGAAGUCAGUGACGGUACCGACAGAAGAAGCGACGGCUAAAUACGUGCCAGCAGCCGCGGUAAUACGUAUGUCGCAAGCGUUAUCCGGAUUUAUUGGGCGUAAAGCGCGUCUAGGCGGCAAGGAAAGUCUGAUGUGAAAAUGCGGAGCUCAACUCCGUAUGGCGUUGGAAACUGCCUUACUAGAGUACUGGAGAGGUAGGCGGAACUACAAGUGUAGAGGUGAAAUUCGUAGAUAUUUGUAGGAAUGCCGAUGGGGAAGCCAGCCUACUGGACAGAUACUGACGCUAAGCGCGAAAGCGUGGGUAGCAACAGG
RNAcentral lists this ribosomal RNA (722 nucleotides) under uncultured Fusobacterium sp. RNAcentral describes it as "bacterial SSU rRNA". It matches the Rfam family "Bacterial small subunit ribosomal RNA", at positions 28 to 775 of the family's 1533-position model. Lineage: Bacteria; Fusobacteriati; Fusobacteriota; Fusobacteriia; Fusobacteriales; Fusobacteriaceae. The record is from RNAcentral.